GGUUGUGGCUCAGCGGUAGAGCGCUCGCCUAGCAUGCACAAGUCCCUGGGUUCGAUCCUCAGCACCA
This 67-nucleotide transfer RNA is filed under the name Marmota monax (woodchuck). RNAcentral describes it as "tRNA.Ala". Lineage: Eukaryota; Metazoa; Chordata; Mammalia; Rodentia; Sciuridae. The record is from RNAcentral.